CAUGGCGUCAGGAGGCGAAGAAGGACGUACUAAUCUGCGAAAAGCCCAGGUAAGCUGAUAAGGGGCGUAAUAGCCUGGGAUAUCCGAAUGGGGCAACCCAACACGCAAGUGUUACUUAGUACGUAAGUACUAAGGGCGAACCGGGGGAAGUGAAACAUCUCAGUACCCCGAGGAAAAGAAAUCAACCGAGAUUUCCAUAGUAGCGGCGAGCGAAAAGGAAAGAGCCCAAAAGUCAUACACAUACGAGUAGAACGGCAUGGAAAGGCCGACGGAAGAGGGUGAUAGUCCCGUAUACGGAAGUGUGAGUAAGAUGAGCGAGAGUAGGGCGGGACACGUGGUAUCCUGUCUGAAGAUGGGGGGACCAUCCUCCAAGGCUAAAUACUACCUGACGACCGAUAGUGAACCAGUACCGUGAGGGAAAGGCGAAAAGAACCCUGGUGAAGGGAGUGAAAUAGAAUCUGAAACCGUGUGCGUACAAGCAGUGGGAGCCCUAAGGGGUGACUGCGUACCUUUUGUAUAAUGGGUCAGCGAGUUAUCUGUAUUAGCGAGGUUAACUUAAAUGAGGGAGCCGUAGGGAAACCGAGUCUUAAAAGGGCGAGAAGUUGAUGCAGGUAGACCCGAAACCGAGUGAUCUAGUCCUGGACAGGCUGAAAGCAGGGUAACACCUGCCGGAGGGCCCAACCUACUGUCGUUGCAAAGCCAGAGGAUGAUCUGGGACUAGGGGUGAAAGGCCAAUCAAACCCGGUGAUAGCUGGUUCUCCCCGAAAGCUAUUUAGGUAGCGUCCUGCAGGGACGGAUGGGGGUAGAGCACUGUUAUUGGAAGGGUCUCAUUGAGGGAUACCGACCAAUUGCAAACUACGAAUACCAUUCAGUUGUAAGCAGGGGACACACAGUGGGUGCUAACGUUCAUUGUGAAGAGGGAAACAACCCGGACCGUCGGCUAAGGUCCCGAAGUUCUGAUUAAGUGGGAAACGAUGUGGGAAGGCAUAGACAGCCAGGAUGUUGGCUUAGAAGCAGCCAUCAUUAAAAGAAAGCGUAAUAGCUCACUGGUCGAGUCGGCCUGCGCGGAAGAUGUAACGGGGCUAAAAUCAGACACCGAAGCUGCGGAUUUGCAUGAAGAAUGCAAGUGGUAGGGGAGCGUUGUGUAAGCCUGAGAAGCAGGGAAGGGAUUUUCUGUGGAGGUAUCACAAGUGCGAAUGCUGACGCAAGUAACGAUAAAACGGAAAAAAAAUCCGUUCGCCGGAAGACCAAGGUUUCCUGUUCAACGUUAAACGGAGCAGGGUUAGUCGGUGCCUAAGGCGAGGCUGAAAAGCGUAGUCGAAGGGAAACGGGUUAAUAUUCCCGUACCGUGUUUCAUUGCGAUGGGGUGACGGAGAAGGUAAGGCUGGCCGGAGAACGGAAGUUCCGGUGAAAGACUGUAGGUAGAGAUUUGGGUUAAAAGACGAAUCUCGAUAAUCUGAGAGUUGAGACGAGGCAUAGAUAUGCUGAAGCAGUUGUGGCCAGGCUCCCAGGAAAAGCCCCUAAGCUAGAGAUGAGACAGGCCGUACCCCAAACCGACACAGGUGGUCGGGUAGAAGAUACCAAGGCGCUUGAGAGAACCCGGGUGAAGGAACUAGGCAAAAUUGUACCGUAACUUCGGGAGAAGGUACGCUGAGCUAGGUGAGGAGGUAAACCCUUUGAGCUAAGUUCAGCCGCAGAUAAAUGGUGGCUGGGACUGUUUAACAAAAACACAGCACUCUGCAAACCUGAAAGGGGAAGUAUAGGGUGUGACACCUGCCCGGUGCCGGAAGGUUAAAUGAUGAGGUUAGCGCAAGCGAAGCCUUUGAGUGAAGCCCCGGUAAACGGCGGCCGUAACUAUAACGGUCCUAAGGUAGCGAAAUUCCUUGUCGGGCAAGUUCCGACCUGCACGAAUGGUGUAACCAUGGCCACGCUGUCUCCACCCGGGACUCAGUGAAACCGAAAUCGCUGUGAAGAUGCAGUGUACCCGCGGCUAGACGGAAAGACCCCGUGAACCUUUACUGCAGCUUGACACUGAACCUUGAACCUGUUUGUGUAGGAUAGGCGGGAGACAUAGAAGCGGAAACGCCAGUUUUCGUGGAGUCGCCCUUGAAAUACCGCCCUGACAGUUUUGAGGUUCUAACUAAGGAAACGAAUCCGAGGACAGUGUCUGGUGGGAAGUUUGACUGGGGCGGUCUCCUCCCAAAGGAUAACGGAGGAGCACGAAGAUCGGGUGAUCACGGUCGGAAACCGUGAGGUCAGUGCAAUGGCAAAAGCCGGCUUGACUG
Molecule: ribosomal RNA, 2285 nt
Filed under: human gut metagenome
Description: bacterial LSU rRNA
Rfam family: Bacterial large subunit ribosomal RNA
Source: RNAcentral